AACCACCCCCAAACUAAGCUAGAGCAAUGUCCUCAUGCGAAAAAAAAAAAAUAAGUCAAAAUAAAACAGAGGACUUCCCUGACGAAUUUAUUCUUCUGGGGGAGCAUCAUCGUCCUCGCUCAUCUCUUGAUCGGACGGGGGAAAUACUGGCAGAACGGGAGCCGUAGGGAAAUGGCUAAGUGGAAUGCCCGGAUGGGUCUGGAUGGUCAGUGCAUUCUGUGCAGCAAAUUGGUCAACUAAAUACUUGAAAAUCACGUCUUGACGUUCCGAUAAGCGCACAUUCUGGGACUCAAUGUUGUAAAACCAGCCGUCUAUCUCCCGCUGGACAGCUUCGGGGACCACACCUCGAUGAGCA
This 355-nucleotide long non-coding RNA is filed under the name Panax ginseng (ginseng). RNAcentral's name for it is "long non-coding RNA (PGIN_LNC006727)". Lineage: Eukaryota; Viridiplantae; Streptophyta; Magnoliopsida; Apiales; Araliaceae. The record is from RNAcentral.